Molecule: ribosomal RNA, 380 nt
Filed under: Phelsuma guttata
Lineage: Eukaryota; Metazoa; Chordata; Lepidosauria; Squamata; Gekkonidae
Description: partial 16S ribosomal RNA
Rfam family: Bacterial large subunit ribosomal RNA
Source: RNAcentral
CGUGCAAAGGUAGCAUAAUCACUUGUUCCUUAAUUAGGGACUUGUAUGAACGGUUAAAUGAGGGCAAAACUGUCUCCUACAGUUAAUCAAUGAACCUGAUCUUACAGUACAAACGCUGUAAUUUACUUAUAAGACGAGAAGACCCUGUGGAGCUUUAAACUUCUACAUUAAAUUAAAACUAUAUUAUAAUGUAAAAUUUUAAGUUGGGGCGACUGUGGAGUAAAAAAAAACCUCCAUGAAACUCGACUAAUCCUCGUCAUAAAGGCCAACAAGCCUAACAAAAACGUUUGACCCAAUCAUAUUGAAUACCGAACCAAGUUACCCCAGGGAUAACAGCGCCAUCCCCUUAAAGAGUUCACAUCGCCAAGGGGGUUUACGAC